CNUUCUGUGCCGGAGUUAACGCAAUAAGUACCCCGCCUGGGGAGUACGACCGCAAGGUUGAAACUCAAAGGAAUUGACGGGGGCCCGCACAAGCGGUGGAGUAUGUGGUUUAAUUCGACGCAACGCGAAGAACCUUACCAGGUCUUGACAUUGAUGGACAGAACUAGAGAUAGUUCCUCUUCUUCGGAAGCCAGAAAACAGGUGGUGCACGGUUGUCGUCAGCUCGUGUCGUGAGAUGUUGGGUUAAGUCCCGCAACGAGCGCAACCCCUAUCUUAUGUUGCCAGCACUUUGGGUGGGAACUCAUGAGAGACUGCCGCAGACAAUGCGGAGGAAGGCGGGGAUGACGUCAAAUCAUCAUGCCCCUUAUGACCUGGGCUACACACGUACUACAAUGGGAGUUAAUAGACGGAAGCGAGAUCGCGAGAUGGAGCAAACCCGAGAAACACUCUCUCAGUUCGGAUCGUAGGCUGCAACUCGCCUACGUGAAGUCGGAAUCGCUAGUAAUCGCAGGUCAGCAUACUGCGGUGAAUACGUUCCCGGGCCUUGUACACACCGCCCGUCACACCACGAAAGUCGGAAGUGCCCAAAGCCGGUGGGGUAAC
RNAcentral lists this ribosomal RNA (603 nucleotides) under uncultured bacterium. RNAcentral's name for it is "bacterial SSU rRNA". It matches the Rfam family "Bacterial small subunit ribosomal RNA", at positions 837 to 1439 of the family's 1533-position model. The record is from RNAcentral.